GCAGUGCACCAGAAACCUUUGUGAACUUAUACCUAUUAUCCGUUGCCUCGGCGCUGGCUGCCCUGUCCCCCCGGGGAUAGGGGCCCCUCUCCGGAGUGGGACAGCAGGCCCGCCGGNGGCCUACUUAACUCUUGUUUUUACUGAGUAUCUUCUGAGUAAAGCUUCUAAAUGAAUCAAAACUUUCAACAACGGAUCUCUUGGUUCUGGCAUCGAUGAAGAACUGCAGCGAAAUGCGAUAAGUAAUGUGAAUUGCAGAAUUCAGUGAAUCAUCGAAUCUUUGAACGCACAUUGCGCCCUCUGGUAUUCCAGAGGGCAUGCCUGUUCGAGCGUCAUUUCAACCCUCAAGCCUAGCUUGGUGUUGGGGCAUUACCUGACUGUUUACAGGAGGGUAAGCCCUGAAAAUUUAAGUGGCGAGCUCGCCAGGACUCCGAGGCGUAGUAGCUAAAACCCUCGGCUUUGGAUCGUACUGGCGCGGGCCUGCCGUAAAAACCCCAAUUCUUGAAAAUUUGACCUCCGGAUCACAGUNUGAAUUCCCGGUAAAUUAGGGCUUUCAU
Molecule: ribosomal RNA, 554 nt
Filed under: Cytospora sp. 1 UFMGCB 5080
Lineage: Eukaryota; Fungi; Ascomycota; Sordariomycetes; Diaporthales; Cytosporaceae
Description: eukaryotic LSU rRNA
Rfam family: 5.8S ribosomal RNA (bases 178-332)
Source: RNAcentral